Molecule: ribosomal RNA, 425 nt
Filed under: uncultured bacterium
Lineage: Bacteria
Description: partial 16S ribosomal RNA
Rfam family: Bacterial small subunit ribosomal RNA
Source: RNAcentral
GUGGGGAAUCUUGCACAAUGGGGGAAACCCUGAUGCAGCGACGCCGCGUGAGCGAUGAAGCCCUUCGGGGUGUAAAGCUCUUUCGGCAGGAACGAUAAUGACGGUACCUGCAGAAGAAGCUGCGGCUAACUACGUGCCAGCAGCCGCGGUAAUACGUAGGCAGCAAGCGUUGUUCGGAGUUACUGGGCGUAAAGAGUGCGUAGGCGGUUCUCUAAGUUCGGUGUGAAAUCUCCCGGCUCAACUGGGAGGGUGCGCCGGAAACUGGAGGGCUUGAGUAUGGGAGAGGAAAGCGGAAUUCCUGGUGUAGCGGUGAAAUGCGUAGAUAUCAGGAGGAACACCUGUGGUGUAGACGGCUUUCUGGACCAUGACUGACGCUGAGGCACGAAAGCGUGGGGAGCAAACAGGAUUAGAUACCCGGGUAGUCC